AGGAGAUAUUCAGUAAGGAACCGAAAGAGUCUCACAAUAUCUCUCAAACUGCAUGAGCUGGGAGGAAAACAACCCGACAGCAGAAGCCAAGCUACGUCGGCUAUAUUCUUACCGUUCAUCUCGUGAGCUGUGGCAUUGCUGGAGGCAACGUGAACCCGGUUUUAAACCCAGAACAACGGUCAGGUUUUUUUAGUUGGUGGACAGUGAGUUCCCAGGACCCAAACGAGAUCCCAGAUGGCGAGCCGAAGAACCUAGGAGGAAAACGCGUACCAUACACACACAUACACAUUUUUUUCAUUAUUGAGAACUCUUAGAUACAGGUGCACCUGCAAUAACUCAGGGCCCCAACGGACAAAUUUUUUUUUUUUUGUG
Cyprinodon tularosa is the source of this 372-nucleotide long non-coding RNA. RefSeq lists it as uncharacterized. The record is from RefSeq and is a predicted model, not a curated record. The transcript is spliced from 3 exons. NCBI's taxonomy places the organism in Eukaryota, Metazoa, Chordata, Actinopteri, Cyprinodontiformes, Cyprinodontidae.